Molecule: ribosomal RNA, 253 nt
Filed under: uncultured bacterium
Lineage: Bacteria
Description: partial 16S ribosomal RNA
Rfam family: Bacterial small subunit ribosomal RNA
Source: RNAcentral
UACAGAGGUCCCAAGCGUUGUUCGGAUUCACUGGGCGUAAAGAGUGCGUAGGCGGUUUUCUAAGUUUGGUGUGAAAUCUCCCGGCUUAACUGGGAGGGUGCGCCGAAAACCGGAAAGCUGGAGUGUGGGAGAGGUAAGCGGAAUUCCUGGUGUAGCGGUGAAAUGCGUAGAGAUCGGCAGGAACACCCAGGGGGAAACCAGCCGACUGGGCAUCUGCUGACGCUGAGGUGCGAGAGCGUGGGGAGCGAACCGG